Potamilus streckersoni is the source of this 73-nucleotide non-coding RNA. NCBI's taxonomy places the organism in Eukaryota, Metazoa, Mollusca, Bivalvia, Unionida, Unionidae. The record is from the annotation of a GenBank genome assembly.
UCUCUUGACUUAAGUGGUUAGAGAGUCCGCCUCAGAUGUGGAAGGUCGCGGGUUUGGAUCCCAGCCGAGUCAA